This 510-nucleotide ribosomal RNA is filed under the name uncultured bacterium. RNAcentral describes it as "partial 16S ribosomal RNA". It matches the Rfam family "Bacterial small subunit ribosomal RNA", at positions 28 to 507 of the family's 1533-position model. The record is from RNAcentral.
GACGAACGCUGGCGGCGUGCUUAACACAUGCAAGUCGAACGAAGAGCGACGGAAGCUUGCUUCUAUCAAUCUUAGUGGCGAACGGGUGAGUAACGCGUAAUCAACCUGCCCUUCAGAGGGGGACAACAGUUGGAAGCGACUGCUAAUACCGCAUACGAUCUAAUCUCGGCACCGAGGAUGGAUGAAAGGUGGCCUCUACAUGUAAGCUAUCACUGAAGGAGGGGAUUGCGUCUGAUUAGCUAGUUGGAGGGGUAACGGCCCACCAAGGCGAUGAUCAGUAGCCGGUCUGAGAGGAUGAACGGCCACAUUGGGACUGAGACACGGCCCAGACUCCUACGGGAGGCAGCAGUGGGGAAUCUUCCGCAAUGGACGAAAGUCUGACGGAGCAACGCCGCGUGAGGGAUGACGGCCUUCGGGUUGUAAAGCUCUGUUAAUCGGGACGAAAGGCCUUCUUGCGAAUAGUGAGAAGGAUUGACGGUACCGGAAUAGAAAGCCACGGCUAACUACGUG